Molecule: long non-coding RNA, 879 nt
Organism: Lutzomyia longipalpis
Lineage: Eukaryota; Metazoa; Arthropoda; Insecta; Diptera; Psychodidae
Exons: 3
Source: RefSeq, a predicted model, not a curated record
UCUUGAGAAUUUUCUGUUCCAAGAAUUAUGUUGUUGUGUAGUUUAAAAUUAAUUUAUUUAAUUUUAAUGAUGUGUAGAUUGUUAUGGAGACUUUCCCCUCCCUUUUUGACGAAAAAUGUGAUAACUGCAGAAGCCUGAGGAAGGAAAUAAACAUUUCCGAAACGUCGCUGAAUGCAAACAAUUGCAUUUUUAAUCAUCCCCCGCUGACCGAAUUCCGAACAAUUUUCCUACAAUUUGCACGGUCGUAAAUCUUGUCUACAAGUUUUAUUCGGAUUAAAAACACAACUUCUCCAAAGGGACGCAUUCUACACGAAGUUUUCAAGUUUUGACACGACUUGCAGCUUUAAUUCUGGGCGGAUAUUUUCAUUCUACUGGAUUUUCUUCACCGAUUACAAAAGAUGUUUUUUCCGCGCGCAUUUGGUGCAUCUUAUUUGGUGGAACCUUCUAGAAGCGCAUCCACAAAACGGCAAUUGUUCUUCAACUUGCACACACAGCAGUGAUUCGUCAACUUUCACACACACACACAUACACGCGUGCUGUUCCAGCUGAUGAAACGGUUUGGUGUUGCGUUGGGGGGGCUGAUCGCUCGCUCAUCUUUCUACGCCGGCUCAGUUGGAUAUUGGACGUUUUCAGCGAUUAAGUGUUUUUGAGCUCUUGAGAAUUUUCUGUUCCAAGAAUUAUGUUGUUGUGUAGUUUAAAAUUAAUUUAUUUAAUUUUAAUGAUGUGUAGAUUGUUAUGGAGACUUUCCCCUCCCUUUUUGACGAAAAAUGUGAUAACUGCAGAAGCCUGAGGAAGGAAAUAAACAUUUCCGAAACGUCGCUGAAUGCAAACAAUUGCAUUUUUAAUCAUCCCCCGCUGACCGAAUUCCGAACAAUUUUC